This 372-nucleotide ribosomal RNA is filed under the name uncultured organism. RNAcentral describes it as "bacterial SSU rRNA". It matches the Rfam family "Bacterial small subunit ribosomal RNA", at positions 526 to 896 of the family's 1533-position model. The record is from RNAcentral.
CGUAGGUGGCAAGCGUUGUCCGGAAUUAUUGGGCGUAAAGCGCGCGCAGGCGGUUCCUUAGGUCUGAUGUGAAAGCCCCCGGCUCAACCGGGGAAGGUCAUUGGAAACUGGGGAACUUGAGUGCAGAAGAGAAGAGCGGAAUUCCACGUGUAGCGGUGAAAUGCGUAGAGAUGUGGAGGAACACCAGUGGCGAAGGCGGCUCUUUGGUCUGUAACUGACGCUGAGGCGCGAAAGCGUGGGGAGCAAACAGGAUUAGAUACCCUGGUAGUCCACGCCGUAAACGAUGAGUGCUAAGUGUUAGAGGGUUUCCGCCCUUUAGUGCUGCAGCUAACGCAUUAAGCACUCCGCCUGGGGAGUACGGCCGCAAGGCUG